GAUGAACGCUGGCGGCGUGCCUAAUACAUGCAAGUCGAGCGAACAGAUGAGGAGCUUGCUCCUCUGACGUUAGCGGCGGACGGGUGAGUAACAUGUGGAUAACCUACCUAUAAGACUGGGAUAACUUCGGGAAACCGGAGCUAAUACCGGAUAAUAUAUUGAACCGCAUGGUUCAAUAGUGAAAGACGGUUUUGCUGUCACUUAUAGAUGGAUCCGCGCCGCAUUAGCUAGUUGGUAAGGUAACGGCUUACCAAGGCGACGAUGCGUAGCCGACCUGAGAGGGUGAUCGGCCACACUGGAACUGAGACACGGUCCAGACUCCUACGGGAGGCAGCAGUAGGGAAUCUUCCGCAAUGGGCGAAAGCCUGACGGAGCAACGCCGCGUGAGUGAUGAAGGUCUUCGGAUCGUAAAACUCUGUUAUUAGGGAAGAACAAAUGUGUAAGUAACUAUGCACGUCUUGACGGUACCUAAUCAGAAAGCCACGGCUAACUACGUG
This 497-nucleotide ribosomal RNA is filed under the name uncultured bacterium. Its description in RNAcentral is "partial 16S ribosomal RNA". It matches the Rfam family "Bacterial small subunit ribosomal RNA", at positions 28 to 507 of the family's 1533-position model. The record is from RNAcentral.